UAUUCUUGCCCUUUCCUUGGAUAUCAAGGCUUUAAUUCCAUAAUAAAGAUAAGGAGGUGGGUUGCAGUUACAUUUCUGUUCCCUUUUUACAGUAGCCGCCUUCUCUUUCAGGGUUUAGGAUCUCUGCAGUUGCUCCUGUUAGCACAUCCAAGAUUCUGUGAAUCAUCUAACCAUGAGUUACCAAAGAGGCAGACCAUUGGCCAUUGUGCCCAGUGCAGGGAGGAGCCUGGACUGAAGUUUGUAUCUGAAUGUGGAGACAGGAACUUAGUUAAAGAGAAACAUACAGUACAUUAUGAAGAGUCACCUUAAGGUAUCUCCUAUAUAGUUACUACAUGGUAUGAAAAAAGAAUUGUGGUAAACAGACACAUUGUGGUUUGUGGGUGCAGAAGUGUGGUUGUAGAGAAAAGCCAUCUGAUUUCCAAGCCACAAAGUUGGACCUCAAUCAGAAAGGAGAGAACACUCUUCUCACAUUCAUCUCUAGGUUGAUAGCUGGUGAGAAAGGAUUUUUUGCCAGAGAACAGACAACUUCUCAGACCGUGCUGUGACUUUUCCUGCCUGGUGGAAAUUUAUAUCUCCGUCAGCAGAAUAGCAGGCUUGGAUGGAAGAUUCCAGUCUGGAGUGUGCUGUGGUGUGGCUGCACUCCUAUUGCAUUCCACGCACCUGAAGAGUCAAGGCGUGACAUGGCAAACACCAAUGCUUGAGUGGUUUCCUUGACCAGAUUUGAUUCCAGGUCCUGCCACUUAUUUUCAGGGUGCACUUUGUCAAGUGUUUGUCAUUCCAACCCCCCCAUUUCCUCAUUUGUAAAAUCAAUAUCAGUACCAGUUUGUGAGAAUGAUUAUUGGGGUUCAAUGGUUUGCCAUGGGGGAAGUGACUAGCACCUUACCUGCCAAGUAGUUAACAUCCGCUAAGUGUCAUUUACCCACAAGUAGUCUGUGGAUCCAGUCUCAGAAAGGGUCCUGUUUAUUAAGGCAAGGCAUCACUGCAGUUCGGCAUCAUGGGCUCCAAGAGAAUAGGAAGCAGUUAGAAAAUAUGAUCUCCCCUGCUCUUCUCUCUGCCAACUCAUUUUUGUGAGUUCACUACCAGAGCCUUGGGGAU
RNAcentral lists this long non-coding RNA (1095 nucleotides) under Oryctolagus cuniculus (rabbit). RNAcentral describes it as "lncRNA (ENSOCUG00000032934.1)". Lineage: Eukaryota; Metazoa; Chordata; Mammalia; Lagomorpha; Leporidae. The record is from RNAcentral.